This 480-nucleotide ribosomal RNA is filed under the name uncultured bacterium. RNAcentral's name for it is "bacterial SSU rRNA". It matches the Rfam family "Bacterial small subunit ribosomal RNA", at positions 27 to 518 of the family's 1533-position model. The record is from RNAcentral.
GGACGAACGCUGGCGGCGUGCCUAACACAUGCAAGUCGAACGGACUGAUUCCUCGGGAAAGAAAGUUAGUGGCGGACGGGUGAGUAACGCGUGAGCGAACCUGCCUUCAGAGGGGAAUAACGUUUGGAAACAGACGCUAAUACCGCAUAACGCAUAGGAGUCGCAUGGCUUUUAUGCCAAAGGAGCAAUCCGCUGAAAGAUGGGCUCGCGUCCGAGUUAAGAUAGUUGGUGGGGUAACGGCCUACCAAGUCGACGAUCGGUAGCCGGACUGAGAGGUUGAACGGCCACAUUGGGACUGAGACACGGCCCAGACUCCUACGGGAGGCAGCAGUGGGGGAUAUUGCACAAUGGGCGCAAGCCUGAUGCAAGCAACGCCGCGUGAGGGAUGACGGUUUUCGGAUUGUAAACCUCUGUCUUUGGUGACGAAGAAAUGACGGUAGCCGAGGAGGAAGCCACGGCUAACUACGUGCCAGCAGCAGC